UGCAGCCCAGGAAGGCUCCCUCACUGCUUAGCAACUCCUCCCCGUGACCUGGGCAACACUCAAGAUGGAGGCAAACAAGCCUCGGCGUGCCCUCUGCUCCGAAAAACAGAGGACGCCACGGAAAGCCCAGGCUCAACCCUGCACCUCAGAGCCGCCGAGGGCCACUGCCACCAGGGCAGCCUGGAAGGAGGGGGGCCAGAGUCUGUCCAGGAUUCCACCUUCAAGAUAUGUUUUUCGGGGGCUUACAGGUGAAGGGGAAGUACAACAGUAUAAGAAUUUCUUCCUGAAAACUUUUUAUGCUAAACGGAUAUAGGAAAAGUGAAUUCUUUGGUUAAGAACUGUACAGAAUUCCAAGCUCCAUUUUUUCCCAGACUGCAAGUGGACCUCCAGAAAAUGUAACUAGAGUUUAUAAGCUAAGGAAAGAUUUGCCUUUUCUGGUUUGAAACUCAUACCCUUUUAUUCCUAAGGGAUGUCUGAUUCAUAAGCAGUAGAAUGGGCUAAAAAUCAGCCCCCUGUCUAUGGGCGAAGAGAUUUCUAGCUUGGAGACCAAGGUAUAUGAGAAUAAUGUGAACGUAUUUCCUUCACAUUAAACAAUUACAUUCUGAUAUUUUUAAAAGGAGAGAGAGAAAGCCAAUCAUUUUCCUAUUCAUCAUGGUAAGAGACUGAAACAAAUGUUUUUCCAGCUUAAUCUACCAGCUACCAUUAAGUGGCUAAUCCUUUUAGAUAAUAAUCUAAAUUAUCCCCCAAACCUGAGGGGAUAGUGUGCGCAGAUGAGAGAAUGCGAAUACGAACCCGUUUUUGAGGUCCUUACAGCACUUUGUUAGUUUCUCCUGGAAGAAAACUCUGUUAGUACAAAACACAAUUAAUGGCAAAUGCCUGAGGGUUCUGGGUGGGACUCGCUCCUACUUUAUGCCAAAAGAUAAAUGAUGGAGAUGGGUAGCUCUUUCCUUUCUUGUGUUCCGUGUUCGUGCCACCCCUCUUCUCUGUGACAAAGUCAGCCUGUGCCUUACAGGUUGAAUGUGACACAGAACCCAUUCGAUUUAUCCCCAGUGGGUGACUGAGGCAGCUCUCUCUGCCCGUCUUGGUGCCCACCGGGCAGCUGAGCUUGCCAAGUCCAAACCCAAGCCUCAGUGUCAAGUAUCCGUCUUGGGUUUUGGGUUAGAACAUUCCAAGUCCCAGAGCAAGCGAAGGCAGACCUGCUCGAAACCUUUUGAUGGAUUUCUGGUGCAUUGAGGAGGGAACCAGAGCGGACCUCAGCCUAGAAGAUUCCCUAGGAACAGUUUCUCCAGCUUCAGCAGAAGAGCACUCCUAGCCCCAAUCAUGAUAUCCACCAACACCAGCUUCCAAGCUCUUCUCUUCUUUAGCCAUCUUUCCCUACCCCUAGCGUGAUCUUAUCUAGGGGUAGUGAUCUUAUCUUAUGUUUGUCAAGCUCACUCCCACUCAUCCUCAGAGUUCAACUGGAAAGCCAUUUUCUUAGAGGCCUGCUGGGACCUACCAAUCUGAAGCUGUCAAUUGUGUUCAUGCUUCCAAGCACUUUUAAAAUAAGUUAUCAUUAAGAGAAAUAAGUACAGGCUGGGCACGGUGGCUCACGCCUGUAAUCCCAGCACUUUGGGAGGCCCAGGCGGGUGGAUCACCUGAGGUUGGGAGUUUGAGACCAGCCUGACCAACAUGGAGAAACGCUGUCUCUACUAAAAAUACAAAAUUAGCCAGGUAUGGUGGUACGUGCCUAUAAUCCCAGCUACUCAAGAGGCUGAGGCAAGAAUUGCUUGAACCUGGGAGGUGGAGGUUGUGGUGAGCCGAGAUCAUGCCAUUGCUCUCCAGCCUGGACAACAAGCGCAAAACUCCGUUUCCAAAAAAAAGAGAAGUCAGUACAAACUUGGCUGCCCACCUUUCUUCCACUCAUUUAUAAACUUCACGAGAGGAGAGAGUGUGUGUUUUGUUCAUUUUUAUUUGCCUGGUGUUGGGUACAUAGUAAUUUACAAAUAUUUGUGAAAAAAAUGAGUUUAGGAAAUGUAAUGAAAGCAAUAUUUAAAGACACAUCCUAAAGCCACCUUAGGAAGUAAGGGAAGAGGAGCAAAUGUAGUGGAAUAAAUAGAGUUGGCAUAAAGGGGUUGAGGUCCAGACCAUCUAGCUCCAAAGCACAGAACGACACGUCCGGUCUUUAUUCCACACUCCCCGCACUACUGGAAUAACCUGGGAAUUUGGCCCCAUGUAGCAUCUGAAGAACUGUCCACAGAUAGUACAAUACUCCCGGUUCAACACCGGCUUCAGCGGUUAACAUUCUGUUCUCAGAAACCAUCCAAAGGUCUUAGAAAUGCUAAUACCCUAGCAUUCACAUUGCAUCCACCAGUAUCUGUCACACCCAGAGACAGAGACAGGAACAACAACAAAAAGAAGCCUUUGCUGAAUCAUAAAUCCCCACUUUUGGUUAAGAAACUGUGAGGACAGAGCUUACAUGUGUGUCGACCUCAAAGUUAGGGAGGUGUUCCAACAUAGCCUCCCUUCCCUCUGUAACCUACUGCAAGGGUGUAAUUUACUAUUUUAUUUAUAGCGUUUUUCUAGCUAUAUUUUUAAUCUUUACUUAGGGAUGAUGAGCUCUGUAAGUUUACUACCUGCAGUAUGAAGUUGUAAUUUUACAAACUUCUUCGAAACCCUUGUUCUCUAAUAUUUCAAGCCACACUGUGCCCCUUCUCUUUCUUGCUCUCUCUCUCUCUCUCUCUCUCUCUCUCUCUCUUCCCCCCCACCACCAUAGUUUAUCAAAUGGGAAAGGUCCUACUUGUCCUUUCUCCCUGCCUCUCCGCUGCUCAUCUUAGCACUUUGGCCCUCCUGUGUCUGGUAGCUUCUUUAUGGCCAGUUCCUUUCUCAAUGGACUCGCUGUAUAGAGAACCAUUCAGAAGAAUACGGUUUCUCUGCUACUGCUGCUGCUCAGAGGGUGACCUGAAGCAGCAGUACUCUGGGCUCAUGAGGAAUGCAGAAUUCCAGCCCCCACCCUAGGUUCUGAAUCUGAAUCUGCUUAACUAAACAGUAGAUGACUUCUUUGUCCAUGGAAGUUUAAGGAGCUGCUCUAGAGAACCUUCAUCUCAGUUCUCAAGAGCCUUUGCCAGGCCAAGCAUGGUGGCUCAUGCCUGUAAUCCCAGCACUUUGGGAGGCUGAGGCAGGUGGAUCAUGAGGUCAGGAGUUCAAGACCAGCCUGGCCAAUAUGGAAACCCCAUCUCUAGCAAAAAUACAAAAAUUAGCUGGGCAUAUCUGUAAUCCCAGCUUCUUGGGAUGCUGAGGCAGGAGAAUCACUUGAAGCCAGGAGGCACAGGUUGCAGUAAGUCGAGAUCAUGCCACUGCACUCCAACCUGGGUGACAGAGCAAGACUCCAUCUUGAAAAAAAAAAAAAAUCCCUUCCCUGGGGAGCUCCUUCCCAGGUGGUCCCUGCCCCUGCCCCUGCAGCAGACCCUUUCCCUACACAGCAGCUAGCUGCUACUAUGACCCAGUCUAUUCCUCUCUUGGAUUCAAAAGAGCUCAAGGGGUCUCAGGACUCUAAACUCCCAACAAAUGAUGGUUUCAGGGGUUCUGAUAGUAAAUAUCUGCUGCUUUAUGAAUUUAAUAAAGUUUUGUGAGCUA
This is a long non-coding RNA of Callithrix jacchus (white-tufted-ear marmoset), 3612 nucleotides long. RefSeq lists it as uncharacterized. Lineage: Eukaryota; Metazoa; Chordata; Mammalia; Primates; Cebidae. The record is from RefSeq and is a predicted model, not a curated record.